This 449-nucleotide ribosomal RNA is filed under the name uncultured bacterium. RNAcentral's name for it is "bacterial SSU rRNA". It matches the Rfam family "Bacterial small subunit ribosomal RNA", at positions 330 to 795 of the family's 1533-position model. The record is from RNAcentral.
UCCAGACUCCUACGGGAGGCAGCAGUGGGGGAUAUUGCACAAUGGGGGGAACCCUGAUGCAGCGACGCCGCGUGGGUGAAGGAGCGUUUCGGCGCGUAAAGCCCUAUCGGCAGGGAAGAAGGAGGACGGUACCUGACUAAGAAGCCCCGGCUAACUACGUGCCAGCAGCCGCGGUAAUACGUAGGGGGCAAGCGUUAUCCGGAUUUACUGGGUGUAAAGGGGGCGCAGACGGCAGCGCAAGCCAGGAGUGAAAGCCCGGGGCCCAACCCCGGGACUGCUCUUGGAACUGCGCGGCUGGAGUGCAGGAGGGGCAGGCGGAAUUCCUGGUGUAGCGGUGAAAUGCGUAGAUAUCAGGAGGAACACCGGUGGCGAAGGCGGCCUGCUGGACUGCGACUGACGUUGAGGCCCGAAAGCGUGGGGAGCAAACAGGAUUAGAUACCCGAGUAGUG